UAUUAUACUAUAUUAUUAUAUUCUAUAAUAUUCGAUAUUAUUACUUCUACAUUAUUAAGUUCACCAAUGCCGAGAUUUUGAAAAUCAAAAUCUUUAAAAUCGGUCUAUUUAUAAAUAUAAAUUUAUCAUUUGAAUCAUCAUUAUAAGUCAUACUAAUUAAAAUAAAACAUUUGUGCAUUUCAUUGUUGAAUAAUACAUAUAUGGCAAGGAAAACAUUUAUUUAAUCCGCCAUUAAAUUAUAUUACUUAAAAUAAAAUCUUUUUCUACUUGAUGUUAAGUUGUAUUAUCAGAAAAUAAAAAAAUCUUCAUUUUAUAUUAAUAUUCAUUUAAAUAAAUAUGCGUUUCAUCUAUUUGAAAUAGAACAAUGUGUUAUUUAUUGUUGAGUUAUACUACUACCUAACUUUUCCGCGAAAAAGUAGAGACUCGUAGCGGAGAUUUCUGGAACUAAUGCAUAGAUUUUUCGGUCAGUAUCCAGUGAGUUGGCACUCUAGUAAUACAGAAGUAUGUGUCUGACUUAGAACAUAUACUAGUAGUAUAUGUUCUAAGGGUGUCGUCACAUGGCACGUAUUUUCUGCGUAACGCGUAACCGCGUAACCAAUCAAAUCUUUGCCUGCAGAAGCUGAUAUCCAAAUGAAACAAUGUGAUUGGUUACGCGUUACGCAGAAAAUACGUGCCAUGUGAAUUCAGCCUAAGGUUAAUACUGAGUAAUACGUGGAGAAGCAGACACUCCGAGCCCUUUUGACACUUCUCUCUCAAGUCUCAGCACGAAGUCAUUGGGCAGAGUCGCUGUUUGUUCACGUCCUAGCAUGUUAGGAAAUUCAUUGAUUGUUGCAAUGACCUCUUGAGUAACGUUAGGGGAAGUUCCAUUUAAGUGGCCGUGUCAAGAACCAUCCUGUCAUUCUGUCUCUGUUGUACGCUGAAAUGUUGAACGGAGACGGAAUAAUGCUCAUGUCAACACGGUCAUCGAAUGGAAUUUACUCAUAGAGGAUUGUCAAGCCUGGAAAGUAUAUAUAGGUGGAAGCGGUGGAAGUCGGUGUGAGUCGUCGUAAAUAUGUGGUGUCAAACUAACCAUGCUGAGACGUGUUAGCAGCCGUAAAAAUUAGGAUUGCCGACGUAGUCGAAAGAUGGUUUCGAUCAUCAAGAAUCAGUUGCUGAAACACCUGUCCAGGUAAUGCCCGCGUAUUAUCGUCACCAAUUAUCGGCGAUUAACCUAAAAUACAGUUUUAUGGUCAAAAGACAUCUCAAGUGACACCUCACAAGUUGCACCCGUCCCAUAAAGUCACACGUCACAUUAUCCACUCCUUUCCUCCUCUCUUUGCCUCGGAGACAUUUGUCUUAGCGCCAACGUAACGUUGCUUUUUUUUCCUACACGAUUUCUACGUAAAUAUAAUAUUAGAUACAUUCAUCUAUGAAACAGCUGGAUGUAAGAGGAGAGAAAGUACUCUCUCUUUUCUUAUAAUUAAAGCAAUCAUCAUAUGGACACUGACAAAGAUUAUUCCUUGCCUCUCUGCAUUAGUGAAAGUUCCUCUCAUGUAUUAUCUGAAUCAGCAGUAAUAAGAUUCUCCAUGUAGAAUUUUGUAUUUAUGAUACUUAAUUUAUCUGCAUUAACAAGUAAUACGACCAUUGCUUUGUUUAAUUAAUUUGUUUGUUUUGCUUUGUUGCCUCGAUAGCUAAAUGCUGUAUUUAAUGCAUGUGUUGACAUAUCCGUCUUACACAUAUUGUAGGUUCACCAAGAACCUGUCUGCUGAUAAGAUAAAUUUGAGCACGUUCAAAGGUGAGGGAGAACUGACAAAUUUAGAACUCGAUGAAAUAGUCCUGACAGAUUUGCUAGAGCUGCCAUCAUGGUUGAGACUAACUAAUGCUUGGUGCAAUAAAGUUUCAUUUCGUAUACAAUGGACCAAACUAAAAAGUGUUCCCAUCUUUUUGAGUUUGGAUGAGGUUCAUAUAGAUGUAGAGACAUGCGAGGACUUGAGAAGUACGUCUUCCCCACAAGGUAUAUCGUCGUAUACUGGUCCCGCAAAAUAUUCUUUUAUACAUAAAGUAAUUGAUGGAAUAACAGUAGCUGUUAAUACCGUAUUGGUUACGUUUAAAAGCCCUGCAUUCAUUGCUUCAGUUCAGAUGAAUCGAAUUAUGGUAGAAUCCAAGUCAGCGACGUGGCAGCGUUGUGAUCUUAGAACCACUAGAGUAAAGGAUCCUGAUCGAGGGCAGCUGCUUAUUUUCAAAGAGCUAGAAUGGCAGACUGUUAGAAUAGAAGCUCAAAGUACUAAAGAUAAGAAUUUGACGCCUCUUCGUUUACUGACAAACCAAGCAAGAUGCCGGAUUACCAUAAAGAAAAGAAUAUCAGAUUGCUUCGUGAUGGGAUCUAGGCUGGUAAUUAUUCUGGACGAUCUUUUGUGGGUGUUAACGGACUCGCAAUUGAAAGCUGCACUUCAUUUUCUCGAUUCAUUGGGUGGUCUCAUCGAGAAAGCUACUGUUCUUGAACGAAAAACGAAAGCUGCAAGAAAAUUGGAGGUUUUACCGGAAUAUCAAGCACAGAUAUCUCAACAAAGCAGAACGAAGAGUCAGGUCAACACUGCGAUAUCAAAGAUAUUUACGAGAUAUGACGUUGUGGAGACAUCGUAUCAUUUUCUUUCGCAACGCAUUGAUCUUCAUUUAUGUGAUGAUGCUGGCGGAGGUAGAUCACUGCACCCCGAACUGAAGGAUGGUGGUGCGCUGCAAAUUUCAUUAGUAAAAUUUCAAAUUGAUUACUAUCCGUAUCACUUGGCAAUGGCGGACAGAAAGCACUGGGCAAAGUACAAAGAAAAUGCCACACCUCACAGCCAGUGGUUGCAGCAGUCGUUGAGCACGUUCCGAAGCCAGUUUAUGGAUCUCAUAGAUUCUGGCAGAACGCAACAACACUCUCCUCUAACGAGAAGUCAAGGAACUGUAACGGGCAGUGGUACGAAAGGCUCGAGAGAAAAUUUAGAAAAGAGCAAUCAAUCACAGAAUCCGAACGUGACUCCAUCUGAGCAGAAAAAGUCUCAACAUCCUAGUGGCAAUCCAGUGAAAAAUUACGUUUUGGAGCAGCUCGCCAAGCUCAUGACAACGUGCAUUAUUAUCAGAAUUGAUGAUUUUACCCUGUACAAAGUGACAACAACGUCGCGUAAUCCAUUACCGAAAGAAUUUAUCACAGCUCAAACGAGGAAGAAACAUAUGCCAGGUGAUCGUGAUAGAUUCAGUCUUCCAGAAGAUGUGACGAUACUUCAUGCAGAGUUUACGUAUUAUUAUUAUCCCGGGGACAUAACAUUUCCAUUGCCACCGCCGAAAUUUUAUGUGCAGCUUAAUCCGAUUCAACUCAACUUUGACGUUUGUUCGUGCCUCUGGUUCAACUCUUUCGCCUUGAAUCUUUAUCAUUCUCUCAUAGGGAAGAACAAGCAGCUGAGUUCCUCGCGCUUAAUGUACUUCGACGUAAAGAUAGAGGCUAUACUUCCAAGAAUAGUGUUCGAAAGCCAGCAAGAUUACCCGAAUCAGAAAGACAGGCCAAAGUCUUUGCACCUUCAGACGUCCAGGGCAUCGAUAACGAACGUUCGAUCGAUGGAGAGAUCUUCGAGGGCGGACCUGGCACAGUGCCUGAAUGCAUUCCAGAUGGGACAGAUGUUCUUCGGCGCGGAGUUUCCCAGCAAAUCGGGAGAUUUCCACGUUGUAACGGAUAAAUUCCUGGCGCAUUGCGGAGGCACCGAUAACAUCAGGCAGAUACCAUCGAACUUUAGCAGCAACUCUGUAAACGAGCUACUUAAACAGCUGAACAGGGAACUCUUGUGGACGGAGGCGAAGGAUGUGUGGUGCUGCAACUUGGAACCCGUGUGGGGAGACUUCUUCGGGGCACGGGCCGUCGGGCAGAACCGAUCCGUGCCUUUCUUGGACGCGUUUCCUCUAACGUUGUGGUGCCAUUUCGUGACGGAGCCGUCAGCUGCGGGAAAGUCUGCGAGCGCCGAUAUCCAUGGACUGGCGUACAUCGGCAAUUUAGUCAGCGUGCAGAUAAAUCAUUACCAAUAUCUGUUCCUGCUGAGAUUAUCGGAGAUACUAUCCGAGAUGGCCACGUAUCUGGCUGUGGACUCGAAUAAAAUCUUGAAGGUCGAAACCGGCGGCUCGCUAAUCGUGGGCGCGUUGAUACCGCAAGUGGAGGUGACGUUCGUGAUGCCGUCGCACACGCCCGGCAAGGAGAACUCUGGCGGCGAUCUCGAAUCCGUUAUGCCCGACUCGUCCAGCAUAGCGGACGAUUUUAUAGGCUCAUCGACGCCCUGGCACACCAGCACGGUAAGCGCGCGCGUCGAAUUCAGCGCUAAGAGAAUGAACACGAGCAACGACGUGGAGACACCUCAGAGCGAAGCGUCCUCGAUGCUGUCGAUGGAAUACUCGCAUUCCACCCCGGCGACGCAGCCGGUCGUCACGUUCAAGCAGAAUGGCACGAAGAAAGGCGAUCAAGAAGGUUCAGCGAAUGCAAUGUGGUGCAUUCCCGAGAAAUAUGGAUCACACCCUGUCAGCACGAACGACGAGAAGAAACUCGUGACGGAAAGCAAGCACAGCAAGUCUGACUCGGGCUCGAACACACCCUUCAUCCCGAACAACUUCAAUGUCAAUCUGUCGUCUAUGAAAAAGGGAUUCAGCAAUUUAAUGACGUCGAUUGACUCGGCUUUAAAGGCUUCCCCGGAAGACGGUAGCAGCGACACCGUGUCCAUGAGAAGCGACGUUAGCUCAGACAGCGAGAAUUACGUUUUGGUGAACCUGCAGGAUCAAGGAAAAAUCGACGCGGUAUUCGGCAUCGAUAGCACGAUUAGAAUAACGGCUGUGGAGGAGGCUACUGAAGUGGUGGAAGAAACGCCAGACACGCAGAGCGAAAAGUCUAUGGACAGCGUGUGCAAAAGGAAGGAUAUAGUUUCCAUGGCGACGUUCAAGCUGUCCAAAGUUGAAUUUAUACAACAGUCUUCUGGCUACUCUUCUGUCAUUAAGGUCCAAGUUUCUAACAUUGAUAAUGAUGAGUGUUCGUCCAUUCCUUGGGAUGAAUUUCAGGUCAAGAGAAAGACCAAGUUCAGCUCGCGAUCUCGAGGCUGGGUAGAGUUACCGUCCGAUUCUGACUGCAGAUCACGUAUUAAGUUACGUUUAGAUCACGUCUUGAAAAAUCCGGAAGAUUCCCGUAAACUGUGGGACGCCAGUCAAAAAGAUACGGGUGGCAGUAGUAUACGAGCAUCUCAAGACCGUGUUAGAUUGCCUGAGCAAGAUGCGUCCCGUAUACCCGGCAUCAAUGUGCAUGACAAAGAGAGUGUUAUGAAUUUAUUCGAGGACAAAUUAGAGAUUAAAGUCGCUAAUGUAGCAAUGGCGUUGUCGAUGAGCUCUGUGACGGGCUUAGCGGAUUUGGCAGAGGACGAGAUUAUACCUAAGCCAAUUCCCGUGCAGGUGUGUAUUUCUGACAGAAUUUUUCACUAUUUUCUAUAUUUUUCUCCUCUCCUCUUUCUCCUCUCUCAAUCUUUCUCUCUCUCUCUUUGUUCAAUAUACAUUUUCUGUUUUUAUUGCAAGAACACACGUUGUUAUGUCAUUUCAGAUAUAUGUAGAAAAUAUAUCGUUACGUUUAAACGAAGAUCGUCCGCCAAAUAAUAUAACUUCCCCCGGCCCAAUCCCGAUAGAUUUGAAUAUUUCGAAACUUAGGAUAGCGCGGGACUUGAAUGGCGUAUUUCACAUUGAACCUAUUGGCGGCCUUUCGAAU
RNAcentral lists this unclassified non-coding RNA (5740 nucleotides) under Ooceraea biroi (clonal raider ant). RNAcentral describes it as "uHRF1-binding protein 1, transcript variant X9". Lineage: Eukaryota; Metazoa; Arthropoda; Insecta; Hymenoptera; Formicidae. The record is from RNAcentral.